This 408-nucleotide ribosomal RNA is filed under the name uncultured bacterium. RNAcentral describes it as "partial 16S ribosomal RNA". It matches the Rfam family "Bacterial small subunit ribosomal RNA", at positions 28 to 526 of the family's 1533-position model. The record is from RNAcentral.
GACGAACGCUGGCGGCGUGCCUAAUACAUGCAAGUCGAGCGAAGCGGCGGAUGGGUGAGUAACGCGUGGGUAACCUGCCCUUAAGUCUGGGAUACCAUUUGGAAACAGAUGCUAAUACCGGAUACUAACGGAUGGCACUGCGAUGCAUUAGCUAGUUGGUAAGGUAACGGCUUACCAAGUCGAUGAUGCAUAGCGGGGUUGAGAGGCUGACCGGCCACAUGGGGACUGAGACACGGUCCAAACUCCUACGGGAGGCAGCAGUAGGGAAUAUUCCACAAUGGACGAAAGUCUGAUGGAGCAAUGCCGCGUGAAUGAAGAAGGUCUUCGGAUCGUAAAGUUCUGUUGUUGGUGAAGCGGUAAUCAACCAGAAAGUCACGGCUAACUACGUGCCAGCAGCCGCGGUAAUUC